Molecule: long non-coding RNA, 275 nt
Organism: Pollicipes pollicipes
Lineage: Eukaryota; Metazoa; Arthropoda; Thecostraca; Pollicipedomorpha; Pollicipedidae
Exons: 3
Source: RefSeq, a predicted model, not a curated record
GGCGCCCGUGGUGGCGGUCGGUGACGCGCAAGUACGUCAUCCUGUGCUGGGUGUGCGGCGGUCUGGCCGUACUGCUCGGCCUGCUGUACGUGCUGGUAUACUUCCUACUGCGCACACACACCAGCAGCCUCCAUUACUUCGAGACCAUUCCCACCUAUGUGCCGGCCUGCGUGCUUAUCGUGACUGGAUUCCUCCUGCUCUGCUUUAUCAAGCGCAGGAAUCGCUUCUCCUACUUGAUCAAGCUGUCGGGCGGCUGCUGCCUGCUGUCGGCCGUG